Peromyscus californicus insignis is the source of this 540-nucleotide long non-coding RNA. RefSeq lists it as uncharacterized. The transcript has 3 exons. The record is from RefSeq and is a predicted model, not a curated record. NCBI's taxonomy places the organism in Eukaryota, Metazoa, Chordata, Mammalia, Rodentia, Cricetidae.
CACCAGUCAGAUGGGAGUGUUCUUCCUCCUGGCGCUAGGCUUCUGGUUCAGCUCUUAUGAUGAGGAAGUAGGAAGUUGGUCUCUUGUGCUGUGCCCCGUGGGCUCUGCUGUGGGUUGAGUACUGGGCAGCUGCGCCAUGGUGAGCAAGGGGCUUCUGUUCCCAGACCGGGAGGAGUGGCCGGCCAUGUGUGAGAAUAGCAGAACUCUACAUGAAUGUUUACAGACUCCCCACGUAAAAUACCCAUGCUUCUGUUGCUUAGGCAAAGCAUUGCUUUGGAAAUGACUCCCACAUUCUCCUUGCCUCCUUCAGGCUUUUAACUCCUCUACCAGAAUCCCCAGUUCUAAUGGGUUGGACUUGUCAAUGAUGGCUGAAUCCCACUUCAUAUUUUUGUGGCUGACAGCACUUGGGUAUACUUGUGAGAGAUUAUUCUUAAUUAAAAUUUUGAAAUGGGAAGACCCUUCAUUAAUCUGGAUCUUCAAGGUAAUUUGAUCCACCUUUAAUCUUGGCCAGACCUUCUGGUGGCAGCCUAUAUAUAUAUA